UGGGGAAUCUUGCGCAAUGGGCGAAAGCCUGACGCAGCGACGCCGCGUGAGCGAUGAAGGCCUUCGGGUUGUAAAGCUCUGUGGAUGGGGACGCGGUACCAUUUUAGCAAGCACCGGCUAACUCUGUGCCAGCAGCCGCGGUAAGACAGAGGGUGCAAACGUUGUUCGGAAUCACUGGGCGUAAAGCGCGUGUAGGCGGCAGUGCAAGUCGGAUGUGAAAUCCCGCGGCUCAGCCGUGGAAGUGCACCCGAAACUGCCACGCUUGAGUGUCGGAGAGGAAGGUGGAAUGCUUGGUGUAGAGGUGAAAUUCGUAGAUAUCAAGCGGAACACCGGUGGCGAAGGCGGCCUUCUGGACGACGACUGACGCUGAGACGCGAAAGCGUGGGUAGCAAACAGGAUUAGAUACCCU
RNAcentral lists this ribosomal RNA (409 nucleotides) under uncultured bacterium. RNAcentral's name for it is "bacterial SSU rRNA". It matches the Rfam family "Bacterial small subunit ribosomal RNA", at positions 355 to 788 of the family's 1533-position model. The record is from RNAcentral.